UCAGUCGACUCCUACGGGGAGGCAGCAGUGGGGAAUAUUGCACAUAGGGGGAAACCCUGAUGCAGCCAUGCCGCGUGUGUGAAGAAGGACCUUCGGGUUGUAAAGCACUUUCAGUAGGGAGGAAGGUAGUGUAGUUAACACCUGCAUUAUUUGACGUUACCUACAGAAGAAGCACCGGCUAACUCCGUGCCAGCAGCCGCGGUAAUACGGAGGGUGCGAGCGUUAAUCGGAAUUACUGGGCGUAAAGCGCAUGCAGGCGGCCUGUUAAGUCAGAUGUAGAAAGGCCCGGGGACUUAACCGUACGGUAAAUUGCUAUUUAGUAAACUGGCAGGCUAGAGUCUUGUAGAGGGGGUAGGAAUUUCAGGUGUAGCGGUGAAAUGCGUAGAGAUCUGAAGGAAUACCAGUGGCGAAGGCGGCCCCCUGGACAAAGACUGACGCUCAGAUGCGAAAGCGUGGGGAGCAAACAGGAUUAGAUACCCUGGUAG
RNAcentral lists this ribosomal RNA (485 nucleotides) under uncultured bacterium. RNAcentral's name for it is "bacterial SSU rRNA". It matches the Rfam family "Bacterial small subunit ribosomal RNA", at positions 328 to 793 of the family's 1533-position model. The record is from RNAcentral.